This 62-nucleotide transfer RNA is filed under the name Dorcus hopei. Its description in RNAcentral is "Dynodorcus curvidens hopei tRNA-His". Lineage: Eukaryota; Metazoa; Arthropoda; Insecta; Coleoptera; Lucanidae. The record is from RNAcentral.
AUUUAAGUAGUUUAAUUAAAAUAUUGAUUUGUGGAAUCAAAGAUAUAGUGAUAUCUUAAAUA